UACGGAGGAUCCGAGCGUUAUCCGGAUUUAUUGGGUUUAAAGGGUGCGCAGGCGGGAUGUUAAGUCGGCGAUGAAAUUUUGCAGCUCAACUGUAAAAGUGCCUUCGAUACUGGCUUCCUUGAGUGUGGAUGAAGUAGGCGGAAUUUGUGGUGUAGCGGUGAAAUGCUUAGAUAUCACGAGGAACUCCGAUUGCGCAGGCAGCUUACUAAACCACUACUGACGCUCAUGCACGAAGGCGUGGGGAUCAAACAGGAUUAGA
Molecule: ribosomal RNA, 259 nt
Filed under: uncultured prokaryote
Description: partial 16S ribosomal RNA
Rfam family: Bacterial small subunit ribosomal RNA
Source: RNAcentral